CCUACGGGGGGCACCAGUAGGGAAUCUUCGGCAAUGGACGAAAGUCUGACCGAGCAACGCCGCGUGAGUGAAGAAGGUUUUCGGAUCGUAAAACUCUGUUGGUAGAGAAGAACGUUGGUGAGAGUGGAAAGCUCAUCAAGUGACGGUAACUACCCAGAAAGGGACGGCUAACUACGUGCCAGCAGCCGCGGUAAUACGUAGGUCCCGAGCGUUGUCCGGAUUUAUUGGGCGUAAAGCGAGCGCAGGUGGUUUAUUAAGUCUGGUGUAAAAGGCAGUGGCUCAACCAUUGUAUGCAUUGGAAACUGGUAGACUUGAGUGCAGGAGAGGAGAGUGGAAUUCCAUGUGUAGCGGUGAAAUGCAUAGAUAUAUGGAGGAACACCGGUGGCGAAAGCGGCUCUCUGGCCUGUAACUGGCACUGAGGCCCGAAAGCGUGGGGAGCAAACAGGAUUAGAUACCCCUGUAGUC
This 465-nucleotide ribosomal RNA is filed under the name uncultured bacterium. RNAcentral describes it as "bacterial SSU rRNA". It matches the Rfam family "Bacterial small subunit ribosomal RNA", at positions 338 to 795 of the family's 1533-position model. The record is from RNAcentral.